GGCGUGCUUAACACAUGCAAGUCGAACGGAGCUUAUUAAGAAAGCGGAGCUUGCUCCAAUGGAUUUUUAAGCUUAGUGGCGGACGGGUGAGUAACGCGUGGGUAACCUGCCUUGCACAGGGGGACAACAGUUGGAAACGACUGCUAAUACCGCAUAAGCCGGUAGAACCGCAUGGUUUAUCCGGAAAAGAUUUAUCGGUGCAAGAUGGGCCCGCGUUGGAUUAGUUAGUUGGCGGGGUAACGGCCCACCAAGACCGCGAUCCAUAGCCGACCUGAGAGGGUGAUCGGCCACAUUGGGACUGAGACACGGCCCAAACUCCUACGGGAGGCAGCAGUGGGGAAUAUUGCGCAAUGGGGGAAACCCUGACGCAGCAACGCCGCGUGAGUGAAGAAGUAUUUCGGUAUGUAAAGCUCUAUCAGCAGGGAAGAAGAUGACGGUACCUGCAGAAGAAGUCCCGGCUAACUACGUGCCAGCAGCCGCGGUAAUACGUAGGGGACAAGCGUUAUCCGGAUUUACUGGGUGUAACGGGAGCGUAGGCGGCCAGCCAAGUCAGAAGUGAAAUCCCACGGCUCAACUGUGGGCGUGCUUUUGAAACUGGAGGGCUUGAGUACUGGAGGGGCAAGCGGAAUUCCUGGUGUAGCGGUGAAAUGCAUAGAUAUCAGGAAGAACACCGGAGGCGAAGGCGGCUUGCUGGACAGAGACUGACGCUGAGGCUCGAAGGCGUGGGGAGCAACAGGAUUAGAUACCUGGUAGUCCCCCGGUAACGAUGACUGCUAGUAUGGGAUCAUAGGUCUGGUGCCCAGUUACGCAUAGCAUCCACUGGGAGUCUUCCAGAUGACU
Molecule: ribosomal RNA, 840 nt
Filed under: uncultured rumen bacterium
Lineage: Bacteria
Description: bacterial SSU rRNA
Rfam family: Bacterial small subunit ribosomal RNA
Source: RNAcentral